UAUAAGGAGGGUUAACAAUGUGGAUAGAAGUGAUCUAAAGGAAAAUGUUGAAACUUCAGAGCAGGGUAAAGGAAAAUCCAGUUUCUUGGUUAAGACUAAAGCAGGCACAAAAGUGGUACCCCAAGUUAGCAACACUGGAACCAAUCUUAUAAAAAAUCGAGCAAGUGACGGCUUCAUAUCGAUCUUGGGGGAGAUGAUGCUGCACAACUUUGGGAAACCACAAUGAAUCCUGAUCAAAGAAGGUUACUAAAGCAAUUGGUUGUUGAGGAUGUUGUAGAACCAAGUGUUGUCUUGUCCUUGCUUAUGGGUGCUUGGGUAAAAGAAAAAAAUUUGGCUUUUUAUGUUGUUCUUAUCUAUUCCUAUAUAAAGUUUAAAGAAAAUAUCAUUGUAUUUAUUUUAUCCAG
Long non-coding RNA from Vitis vinifera (wine grape), 404 nucleotides. RefSeq lists it as uncharacterized. The transcript has 4 exons. NCBI's taxonomy places the organism in Eukaryota, Viridiplantae, Streptophyta, Magnoliopsida, Vitales, Vitaceae. The record is from RefSeq and is a predicted model, not a curated record.